Molecule: long non-coding RNA, 2275 nt
Filed under: Podarcis lilfordi (Lilford's wall lizard)
Lineage: Eukaryota; Metazoa; Chordata; Lepidosauria; Squamata; Lacertidae
Source: RNAcentral
CGAGUUCCAGUAUAGAACAAUGUUAUUACUGGAGUGGGUGCUGGUGGCACUGUGAUCUAAACCACUGAGCCUCUUAGGCUUGCCAAUUGGAAGGUCAGUGGUUCGAAUCCCCACAACGGAGUGAGCUCCCAUUGCUCUGUCCCAGCUCCUGCCAACCUAGCAGUUCAAAAUCACAUCAAAGUGCAAGUAGAUAAAUAGGUACCUCUUGGUGGGAAGCUAAAUGGCAUUUCCGUGCGCUCUGGUUUCCAUCACGGUGUUUGUUGUGCCAGAAGUGGUUUAGUCAUGCUGGCCUCGUGACCUGGAAAGCUGCCUGUGAACAAACACUGGCUCCCUUGGCCUGAAAGCGAGAUGAGCGACACUACCCCAUAGUCCCCUUUGACUGGACUUAACUGUCCCGGGGUCCUUUACUUUUAUCUUUUACCUUACUGCUGGUGGCUGCCAGCAUAUGGAACAUGGCUCUUUCUGAAAGCUUUGCACAACAUCAGAAAGUGGCCAGAGUUGAAUUUUAGCAUGACAAAUGUGAGGCAACAAAGUUUUGCUUUCUCGGUUUCAUUACCAAAAUGACAGGGUCUCAUCCACCACCACCAAGCAUGGCUCGUUCUGCUGUGGCAUAUGCGUUGAGCUUACCUUUUGGUUCCGGCUGUGUAGUCUUUUACCUAGUAGGAACUCAUGGUAUUGUUUGACAGUUUAUGUACUUGGUCCGCGAUUGUUUGUUUUUACGUGCUCAGGUGUUUGCAUGUUAAAAUUUCCAUUUCAAAUAUUUUUUAUUUUUUAUUGCAGAGGAACACAGAAUCAUUUGAAGUACUGUUGAUGCUUAUGACUUGGGGGCAAGUUGGAAAUGGGGGGGGGGGAGAGAUCCACAACCAGAUAUUCUAAUGAGCAAAUGCUGCUUUCCUGGGGCAAAGGAGGCAGUUCAGAUUGUGGGCCAUGGUGCUGAAUAGUUAACACUUUCCCCCAAGUUAUGUUCCCAGCCAGAAUCAGCUCUCCAGAGGCAACGGAGACAGAGCUUUGGCACAAGUAUCAGUUCAGCUGCAACCAACCAUUUUCCUUAUACUGCUACUCAAUAACAGCAGCAACCAAAGGUUAGUUGGGAGCUGCUCAGCUCCAGAGGCUUUUCUUCACCCACUUGCAAGCUACAUGAUAUAUAUUUGAUAAACUCAAGUCAUUAGCAUGUUAGCAAAUAUAUUUCUCAGCACUCUUCACACAAAGAUACCUUUAAAAAGACAUGCUGGGUUGACCCUGCUUUGGGCUAUUCCUUUGCCUUAUGUAAACUUUGUUUUUGGGCUAUUUCUUUGCUUUAUGUAAACUUUGUUUAUAAACCCUGGCUUAUAAACUUUUCUUUCCCCUGCUCUGUAGCUCAUCCACCUUGCUUGUCUGCUCAUAAUUUGGUUUCAAGCAAUGCUUUCCCCCCUAAAAAAAUGUUUAGAGAUACAGUCAUACGUUGUGUUGUGUCCGAUCCAUGUUGCGUCUUUUCACGUUAAGUCCCACGAUAACCCGGAAGUACCAGACUGGGUUGCUUCUGGGUUUUGCUGCUCGCGCAUGUGCAGAAGCGCUAAAUCGCACUUCACGCAUGCACAGAAGGGCCAAAUUGUGCUCGCACCUGCACAGAUAUAACGCUUCAAGUUGCGGGCAUUUCACAUUACAGACGGGCCUCCAGAACAGAUCACUGAAAUACUGCCCUUCAGUGAGGCCAAGCUUAGAUUCACAAAACGUUUAGAGGUAUGAGUACCUCUGCAAAAUCCCCCCCCCAAAAAGCACCAAUUUCAAAUAUAUAUAAAAUUCAUCCCUGCUUAUCCCUUCCCUCUUCUCCCCUGUUGAUCUUCUCUCUCCUGUAAAGAAUAUAAAGAAAAGCUUGGCUGGUGCAUCAAGACCAUCUACCACACAUCCUGUUUCUCAUGGUGGCCAAACAGACACCUAUGGGAAUCCUGCAGACAGGACCAGCAUGCCACCGCCCUCUCUCCACUUCUGAUUCCCAGCAGUGAUUCCCAGAGACACACUCCCUACACCAGUGGAGGAAGAACACACCCAUCAUGGCUGGUACCCACUGAUACCCUUUGCCCUCCGUUAGUCUGCUGAAUCCAGUUUCGAAGUCAGUGGCCAACACAACAUAUUGUGGGAUAUAAUUCCACUAUGUUUAACUAUGUGCUGUUCGAAUAACUUCUCUCCCACCCUCCCCCGCCCUGAACUUCCAACAUUCUGGGUGGAAUUCAGCAACUUUGUUGCAUUGCCAUGUGAAAUAAAUUUGGUUGUUUGCAUGACUGCUUGAUGUCAUCAC